UUCUGUGCUUGGAUUUAUUUCUUUUUCUUACACACCUCGAUCAGGCAGGUAGAAAUUAACAGAAGCAUUGUGUGCAGCUCCUGCGCCCUAAAUCCCGGGCUUGGGCUCUCCCAGACCCGGGCCAGCCCCCACCUUUACCAGCUCCGGUCCGCACUUCUCCUCCAGGCUGGGUUUCCCGUCCGUGGAGGGGGUACAGAAAUCUCUCCCCAGGGUCCUUCCAGGGUCUGGGAAAGGACCCAGCCUUUGAGCUCCCUGGGCCUCCCCUCCCUGCACCUGCAGGUGUGCAGCUGGGCUCCGCCUAGGGACCCAGUAAGCACGAGUUCGCGCCCUCCUCGUCCCAACCGCCAGACUUUCACCUUGACACGAGCCCCCCUACGGCCCCGGGCAGAGCUCGUGCAAAGGCCCUGUGGCCCCCAGGCCAGGCCGAGCCCCCCGGGCCGCCGGGCGCACCUCCGGGCGGGGGAACCUCCCUCGCGGCCGCACAACCCGGGCCCUAGAGCCCCCGCGGGGUCCCCGGCUCCCGGCCAGGCCACCAGCCGGGUCACCUGUCCCCUGCUGCGGCCCGCGGCCCCCGGGACACGUUUAAGAGCAAGUCUGGUUCUGGGAAAACACCGAGUGCAGAGCCGCGAGCAGCCCGGACCAAGGGAGGCCGCGGAGGGAGCCCUCGAGCGACCGCCCCGGGACACGGGGACUGCAGGGCCCGAGGCCUCCUUCCAGAGAGGCAACCCCUCACCUGCGACAGCCUGCCUGGGCCUGCGGGGCCUGCUGCCCCGGGAUGGGGGCGGCCCGGCUCGGGGGGAGGACCCCGGCCCGAGAUCCAGGUCCCCGAGAUCCAGGUCCCCGAGAUCCAGGUCCCCGAGAUCCAGGGUCCCCGAGAUCCAGGUCCCUGCGAUCCAGGGUCCCCGAGAUCCAGAGUCCCCGAGAUCCAGAGUCCCCGCGAUCCAGGUCCCCGAGAUCCAGGGUCCCCGCGAUCCAGAGUCCCCGAGAUCCAGGUCCCUGCGAUCCAGGGACCUCGAGAUCCAGGGUCCCCGAGAUCCAGAGUCCCCGAGAUCCAGGGUCCCCAUGAUCCAGGGUCCCCGCGAUCCAGGUCCCCGAGAUCCAGGUCCCCGCAAUCCAGGUCCCCGAGAUCCAGGUCCCCGAGAUCCAGAGUCCCCGAGAUCCAGGUCCCUGCGAUCCAGGGUCCCCGCGAUCCAGGGUCCCCACGAUCCAGGGUCCCCGAGAUCCAGGGUCCCUGAGAUCCAGAGUCCCCGAGAU
Molecule: long non-coding RNA, 1254 nt
Filed under: Canis lupus familiaris (dog)
Lineage: Eukaryota; Metazoa; Chordata; Mammalia; Carnivora; Canidae
Description: lncRNA (ENSCAFG00030007770.1)
Source: RNAcentral